GAUGAACGCUAGCUACAGGCUUAACACAUGCAAGUCGCGGGGCAGCAUGGGGGUUGCUUGCAAUCCCCGAUGGCGACCGGCGCACGGGUGAGUAACGCGUAUCCAACCUGCCCUUCACCACGGGAUAACCCGGCGAAAGUCGGACUAAUACCGUAUGUUGUCCAUUGACGGCAUCCGAUUUGGACGAACGGUUUGGCGGUGAAGGAUGGGGAUGCGUCUGAUUAGCUGGACGGCGGGGUGACGGCCCACCGUGGCGACGAUCGGUAGGGGUUCUGAGAGGAAGGUCCCCCACACUGGAACUGAGACACGGUCCAGACUCCUACGGGAGGCAGCAGUGAGGAAUAUUGGUCAAUGGGCGUAAGCCUGAACCAGCCAAGUAGCGUGCAGGAUGACGGCCCUAUGGGUCGUAAACUGCUUUUAUGCGGGGAUAAAGUGGCCCACGUGUGGGUUUUUGCAGGUACCGCAUGAAUAAGGACCGGCUAAUUCCGUG
Molecule: ribosomal RNA, 490 nt
Filed under: uncultured bacterium
Lineage: Bacteria
Description: partial 16S ribosomal RNA
Rfam family: Bacterial small subunit ribosomal RNA
Source: RNAcentral